RNAcentral lists this ribosomal RNA (447 nucleotides) under uncultured bacterium. RNAcentral's name for it is "bacterial SSU rRNA". It matches the Rfam family "Bacterial small subunit ribosomal RNA", at positions 28 to 458 of the family's 1533-position model. The record is from RNAcentral.
GAUGAACGCUGGCGGCGUGCUUAACACAUGCAAGUCGAACGGGAAUUACUUUAUUGAAACUUCGGUCGAUUUAAUUUAAUUCUAGUGGCGGACGGGUGAGUAACGCGUGGGUAACCUGCCUUGUACAGGGGGAUAACAGUCAGAAAUGGCUGCUAAUACCGCAUAAGCGCACAGGACCGCAUGGUCCGGUGUGAAAAACUCCGGUGGUAUAAGAUGGACCCGCGUUGGAUUAGCUUGUUGGCAGGGUAACGGCCUACCAAGGCGACGAUCCAUAGCCGGCCUGAGAGGGUGAACGGCCACAUUGGGACUGAGACACGGCCCAGACUCCUACGGGAGGCAGCAGUGGGGAAUAUUGCACAAUGGGGGAAACCCUGAUGCAGCGACGCCGCGUGAAGGAAGAAGUAUCUCGGUAUGUAAACUUCUAUCAGCAGGGAAGAGAUUGACGGU